GACGAACGCUGGCGGCGUGCUUAACACAUGCAAGUCGAACGGUAAGGCCCUUCGGGGUACACGAGUGGCGAACGGGUGAGUAACACGUGAGUGAUCUGCCCUGCACUUCGGGAUAAGCCUGGGAAACUGGGUCUAAUACCGGAUAGGACCACUGCCUGCAUGGGUGGUGGUGGAAAGCUUUUGCGGUGUGGGAUGGGCCCGCGGCCUAUCAGCUUGUUGGUGGGGUGAUGGCCUACCAAGGCGACGACGGGUAGCCGGCCGGAGAGGGUGACCGGCCACACUGGGACUGGGAUACGGCCCAGACUCCUGCGGGAGGCAGCAGUGGGGAAUAUUGCACAAUGGGCGCAAGCCUGAUGCAGCGACGCCGCGUGAGGGAUGACGGCCUUCGGGUUGUAAACCUCUUUCAGCACCGACGAAGCGCAAGUGACGGUAGGUGCAGAAGAAGGACCGGCCAACUACGUGCCAGCCGCCGCAGUAA
RNAcentral lists this ribosomal RNA (478 nucleotides) under uncultured bacterium. Its description in RNAcentral is "partial 16S ribosomal RNA". It matches the Rfam family "Bacterial small subunit ribosomal RNA", at positions 28 to 523 of the family's 1533-position model. The record is from RNAcentral.